GGCUUCGUGGCCUAAUGGCUAGGGCGCUAGAUUUCGGUGAUACUACAAAGUAUUUGAUUCUCUAGAGAUUGUCGGUUCGAGUCCGGCCGAAGUCG
This 95-nucleotide transfer RNA is filed under the name Nemania serpens. Its description in RNAcentral is "tRNA-Arg". It matches the Rfam family "tRNA". From Rfam's summary of the family: Transfer RNA (tRNA) molecules are approximately 80 nucleotides in length. Their secondary structure includes four short double-helical elements and three loops (D, anti-codon, and T loops). Further hydrogen bonds mediate the characteristic L-shaped molecular structure. tRNAs have two regions of fundamental functional importance: the anti-codon, which is responsible for specific mRNA codon recognition, and the 3' end, to which the tRNAs corresponding amino acid is attached (by aminoacyl-tRNA synthetases). tRNAs cope with the degeneracy of the genetic code in two manners: having more than one tRNA (with a specific anti-codon) for a particular amino acid; and 'wobble' base-pairing, i.e. permitting non-standard base-pairing at the 3rd anti-codon position. The record is from RNAcentral. Lineage: Eukaryota; Fungi; Ascomycota; Sordariomycetes; Xylariales; Xylariaceae.